This 253-nucleotide ribosomal RNA is filed under the name uncultured bacterium. Its description in RNAcentral is "partial 16S ribosomal RNA". It matches the Rfam family "Bacterial small subunit ribosomal RNA", at positions 524 to 776 of the family's 1533-position model. The record is from RNAcentral.
UACGUAGGGACCAAGCGUUGUCCGGAAUCAUUGGGCGUAAAGCGCGCGUAGGCGGCCCGGUAAGUCCGUUGUAAAAGUCGAAGGCUCAACCUUCGAAAGCCGAUGGAUACUGCCGGGCUAGAGUACGGAAGAGGCGAGUAGAAUUCCUGGUGUAGCGGUGGAAUGCGCAGAUAUCAGGAGGAAUACCCAUAGCGAAGGCAGCUCGCUGGGACGUUACUGACGCUGAGGCGCGAAAGCAUGGGGAGCGAACAGG